CGGGGUGCUGCAGCAGUGGGGAAUAUUGGACAAUGGGGGAAACCCUGAUCCAGCAAUGCCGCGUGUGUGAAGAAGGCCUGCGGGUUGUAAAGCACUUUCGGUUGGGAGGACUGCUUCUAGCACUAAUAUUGUUGGAAGUUGACGUUACCUUCAGAAGAAGCACCGGCUAACUCCGUGCCAGCAGCCGCGGUAAUACGGAGGGUGCAGCGUUAAUCGGAAUUACUGGGCGUAAAGCGCGCGUAGGCGGCUAGAUCAGUCGGGUGUGAAAGCCCCGGGCUUAACCUGGGAACUGCAUCCGAUACUGUCUAGCUUGAGUACAGGAGAGGAGAGUGGAAUUCCACAUGUAGCGGUGAUAUGCGUAGAUAUGUGGAGGAACACCAAUGGCGAAGGCAGCUCUCUGGCCUGAUACUGACGCUGAGGUGCGAAAGCGUGGGGAGCAAACAGGAUUAGAUACCCUAGUAGUC
This 464-nucleotide ribosomal RNA is filed under the name uncultured bacterium. RNAcentral's name for it is "partial 16S ribosomal RNA". It matches the Rfam family "Bacterial small subunit ribosomal RNA", at positions 342 to 795 of the family's 1533-position model. The record is from RNAcentral.